Molecule: non-coding RNA, 25 nt
Filed under: Mus musculus (house mouse)
Lineage: Eukaryota; Metazoa; Chordata; Mammalia; Rodentia; Muridae
Source: RNAcentral
UAUAAGCAACAAUAGCUAGGUAGGA